Long non-coding RNA from Myotis daubentonii (Daubenton's bat), 267 nucleotides. RefSeq lists it as uncharacterized. The record is from RefSeq and is a predicted model, not a curated record. NCBI's taxonomy places the organism in Eukaryota, Metazoa, Chordata, Mammalia, Chiroptera, Vespertilionidae.
GGCGCCCGAGCAGGGCACCCCGGCGGGGACGGUGUUUUCUUCCCCUCCCGCGGGCACGCAGCGGGGGAGGCGGCCGGCGGAGAGCGGGGCCCCGGCCCGAGGCGGGGGGAUCGAUGACUCGGCCGGUGGGCACGGCCACCUGGGCACACUUCCUACUAACCUGAGUAAGGAAGGUCUGAAAGGAAAAGCAGCUAUGGAUUGUCCUACCAGUCCCCUUCCUUCUAUGGCACCAUUUUCAGUGUAAAAGGUCCACCAGAAUCCUAUGCU